CGCCGUCUCGGAGGCGCGGCGGAGGCAGCAGCCCCGGUGGCGAGGCCGAGCGCGCAGAGAUGCGGCCGGGUGGCGGGGGAGGCGGCUCGCGGGGCUCGCGAGGUCCCCCGGUCCACCCGCGCCUUGGGCCCGGCCUGGCGCAGGCCCGCCUUUGGCCCUGGGAGGCGCUGGCUGUUGUCGGGGGAUGAGGAGUGACAGAGGCACCCCAGCCCUUAGCCUACUCAUGAGUGGAAUAGUUCCAUCAUUUUCUUUGGCUGUCUUAACUUCAUUAUCCGGGUUCUGCUGGCUUUGUGGAAUGAGGCAUCCAUAAGACAUUAUCCUAGACUGGGUGGUGGUUUAUCAACACUACAACUUUGUUUCUCAUAGUUCUGGAGACUGGGGAUGGAAAAGACAAGAGUGCCGGAGCACUUGGUGCCAGUGACAGCCCAUUCUCUGGUUUGUUGAUAGUACUGUUCUGGAGUGUUCUCACAGGUCAAAGGGCAGGGGAGUUCUCUGUGCUGUUGUUUAUAAGGGCAUUACUUCCAUUCACAAGAACUCUGGUGUUUGUCACACUAAUGAAAAGCUAAUUAAAAAGAAUAACAUUCUACCAUUUGCAACAAAAUGGUCCCAACUUAAGAACAUCAUGCUCAAUGAAAUGAGACAAAUAUCAUAUAUGCUCUCUGAUAUAAGGCAACCCUCAUACAAAAUACAAGAUCAAGAGGUAUACAGUAAAUAUGUAUAUACAUAUAUUCAUCUAGAGACUAGUAUACAGAGAAGUGAAGAUAUAUUGCAGUAUGCUUCCCUACUCCCGAAUCAAAGAAGGACUCCCAAUGAAACUGACAAUAGGAUGCUGGACUUUCUACCAUUCUCUGUAUCUACAGUGUCGGGAUACACUUAAAUAGCAGGAUGAUGGACUUGGGACUGUUGCUGAAGGACUAUAUAAUUGUAAUAAUAUAGGGAGAAUUAGGGAAAAAUCCCUGAGCCUAUGGAACUGUAUCAUGAAAUAUAAAAAUUAAAAAUAAAAGCUUAACAAAAGUUCCCAUCUAAAGAGUAUACUGAAAGUUGUUAUCCCAAAUUCAUAUUAGAUUUUGUCAAAUGAUACAUUCAUGAGAUUCUGACUCAUAGCAUGCUGAGUUACACUGAACCAACCUAUGUUUUUGAAAUAAACCUCACUUGGUUAUUAUGUACUAUUACUAUUAUUAUUUAAAAAGAUUUGUUUGAGACUACCAUAUUUAGGUAUGAAGAAACAAUGCAAUAUAUAACUUUACUUCCAAAUCAAAGAUGGACUCCCAAUGAAACU
Ochotona princeps (American pika) is the source of this 1279-nucleotide long non-coding RNA. RefSeq lists it as uncharacterized. Lineage: Eukaryota; Metazoa; Chordata; Mammalia; Lagomorpha; Ochotonidae. The transcript has 3 exons. The record is from RefSeq and is a predicted model, not a curated record.